RNAcentral lists this long non-coding RNA (521 nucleotides) under Manihot esculenta (cassava). RNAcentral describes it as "long non-coding RNA (MESC_LNC001364)". Lineage: Eukaryota; Viridiplantae; Streptophyta; Magnoliopsida; Malpighiales; Euphorbiaceae. The record is from RNAcentral.
UGAGCAGAACGACUCCACCACGGACGGUGUUGUGCCUGUGCAAAGCAAGAGCGUUCAAGCUCCAUUAGUGAAUGAUCAUUACUUUGGGCUCGACUUCACUGCAUCCAAACCGUUAGCCUACGGUUACAACACCCAGUCAGGGUGCCCAAGUCAUAUUGUAAGUUUCCUAAUAGCAAUUGAAAUUAGCUUUUAAUAUUAAUAUUUUAAAAUUAAGGAAAAAAGCUCUGAUCGAGUGCAUGUGACCUCAGGUAUCAUCCUCAUAUCUGGACGUUGGGGUAGUGCCGGAUGGCGGCAACAUGAUGGAGUCAACAAAUCAAAAGGUUCAGCUGUCUGCAGUGGAUAGGGAAGCAAGGGUGUUAAGAUACAAAGAAAAGAGAAAGAAUCGGAAGUUCGAGAAGACGAUUAGAUACGCAUCGCGAAAAGCUUACGCUGAGAUGAGACCCAGAAUCAAAGGAAGAUUCACGAAACGAUCUAAUAGUGAAGUUGAUCGAAGUAGUAUCUACGAAUUCGGCGUCGUUCCG